This 240-nucleotide unclassified non-coding RNA is filed under the name Hevea brasiliensis (rubber tree). Lineage: Eukaryota; Viridiplantae; Streptophyta; Magnoliopsida; Malpighiales; Euphorbiaceae. The record is from RNAcentral.
UGCAAACUUUUAUUUGCAAACCAAAGGCAGUUUUUGCUUACAAGCACAUAUGAGAGAUUAUUUCAGCAGAAAAGUAGCAGCAAUUUUAGCAGGCAUCAGGAUUAGCCAAAAGGUAGGCUUCAACAGCCUUGAACAUUCCUAAGGCCUUAUAUUUGCCAGCCUUAAGUUGGUCUUUAUUAAGCUCAAAGUCACCAAAGGUAUAGUAAUUGCUGCUCUCCUUGCAGAUGCAUCCUCCAUCAG